CACCACCACCCAGACCUGCUCAGCACCUGAAACAUUCACAGCCGUGGAGAGAGAACUGUUCACUGCUACCAUCCACACUUCUGGGCCCCUUCAGCAGCAGGGUGACAAGGAAGAGGGAAAUCGACUUGGAAAAGAGGGGACCUCUGACCCAAGAGUUCGGUCAAUGCAUAUGUUGGCAGCCAGCUGCACAUCGCACCAAAUAUGAACUUCAAAUAGAAGAAAGCCUCAUUUGGAAGAAAGCUCAUGCACAGACUGUAAAUAUUUCAGAGCAGAUUGUGUCUCUGUAGAUUAAGUAAGUUGUGAAAGUCUGAACCUCUGCCAAAAUUUUAAGACCUUGACCUUUACA
RNAcentral lists this long non-coding RNA (346 nucleotides) under Homo sapiens (human). RNAcentral's name for it is "non-protein coding MIR3976HG:13". Lineage: Eukaryota; Metazoa; Chordata; Mammalia; Primates; Hominidae. The record is from RNAcentral.